CAAAUAUGAUUUAAGUUGUCGGUGCUAUCUCCAGUGUCUGUACUAUAUUAAAUCAGAGUUGCCAUCAGGGGAUCUAGUAGAUGCUUAAUUUGAAAAGCACUUUAUGACAUUACAGAUGGAGGACUCGAUCGAUAUUUGUAUUUCAAGUGUUAUACGUGAAUUUGGUUAAAGUGAUUUACUAUUUACUUUUGCCUCUUAUAUAAUGAAUUGAGGCUUCAAAACUGGUGCAACAAGUUACAUGAGUGUCAUAGGAAAUGAUAGUUUAUUUAGGGAAGGGAUGAAGUAGAACUCAAAGCUUGUGGCUUAUGUUGAAAAGCAUGGCCAUGGAAACUGGCGUUCAAUUCCUGCCAAAGCAGGACUUCAAAGAUAUAGAAAGAGUUGCAGAUCGACUGAGGUGGAUUAAUAACCUCAAACCAAAGAUAGAACGAGGAAACUAGCUUCGAAGAUCUCACCAUUAUUGAACUCCAUGUUGGAAACAAGUGGUCAAUCAUAGCAUCACACUUGUCGAAGCAAACGAGCAAUGGGAUCACGAAUUAUUGGAACACCAACGUCAAGAAAAGAUUUAUCAGAAUGGACAUACAUUCAAUUACCCAUAAAUCAAAAGCUAACACCUUUGAAGCCUAUGGUGGUCAUCAGUCGAAGGACGUCAUCAGAAUCAACCACAUGAUGGGAGAAUGCUCAAUUUGAUGCUCUAGCAAGAGAAUCUUAUUGUAAGUUGGAUUUAACUCCUUUGUUUUCCCACUUCAUUAGAUUCACUAUCAACUAAACACAACAACAUAGUGUAUAAUAUAUAUACAUGCCCUCAUAUAUCAUGACCUAGGCCUUCAAUCACCAAGUAAGCAUCCCAAGUAAAAAGCUUACUAUCUCAAUCAAUGUUUGACAAUUCACCAACAUGGAAAGUUUACUCUAAUAUAAGAGUGAUGCUAAUGUGAUUGAAAUUAGUAGUCGAGCUCAAAAGAUAAUAAAAAUUUAUGUGUCAAACUUACAAGAUGGUGACAUUAUAGUGAAUAUUAAUGUGAAAAACGAGUUUCUACAUCCAUAAUCAUGUCACCAUAAUGUCAUCAUUUUGUAAGUUUGACCUAUAGUCUUUCAUUAUCUUUUGAGUUUGACUAUUAGUUUCUAUGAUAUUAUCAUCAUUCGUAUGAGAGUGAUUAUUUUUCUUUAAUGGACAACUAUUCUACAUUGAUUGAGACAAUAAGUUUUUUUUUUUAAUCUAGGAAGCUCAAAAUGCAUAUUGGUCAUUGAAGGUCAUGACUCAUGAUAUGUAACAAGCAUGAGAACAUACAUGUUAUACACAUCAUUGUUGUGUUUGGUUGAUAGUGAAUCUAAUGAACUAGGGAAACAAAGGAGUUUGAUCCAACUUGCAACUUGUAUUUGUCUCCUAUUAUGCUAUGUAUUGACAACAUUUUUGGAGGUCACAAUCAUAAGCUUUGAAGGUGUUUGCUUUUCACUUGUGGAUAAUAGAAUUUUUGUCCAUCUUUGUUGUUAAACUUUGAAGAUUAUCCACUUUGAGUGAUGUUAAA
This is a long non-coding RNA of Glycine soja, 1523 nucleotides long. RefSeq lists it as uncharacterized. The record is from RefSeq and is a predicted model, not a curated record. Lineage: Eukaryota; Viridiplantae; Streptophyta; Magnoliopsida; Fabales; Fabaceae. The transcript is spliced from 3 exons.